RNAcentral lists this ribosomal RNA (476 nucleotides) under uncultured bacterium. Its description in RNAcentral is "bacterial SSU rRNA". It matches the Rfam family "Bacterial small subunit ribosomal RNA", at positions 26 to 507 of the family's 1533-position model. The record is from RNAcentral.
AGGACGAACGCUGGCGGCGUGCUUAACACAUGCAAGUCGAGCGGAAAGGCCCUUUCGGGGGUACUCGAGCGGCGAACGGGUGAGUAACACGUGAGUAAUCUGCCCUUGGCUUUGGGAUAACUACCGGAAACGGUGGCUAAUACCCGGAUACGACGCACUCAGGCAUCUGAUGUGUGUGGAAAGUUUUUCGGCCAGGGAUGUGCUCGCGGCCUAUCAGCUUGUUGGCGGGGUAAUGGCCUACCAAGGCUUCGACGGGUAGCCGGCCUGAGAGGGUGACCGGCCACACUGGGACUGAGACACGGCCCAGACUCCUACGGGAGGCAGCAGUGGGGAAUAUUGGACAAUGGGCGGAAGCCUGAUCCAGCAACGCCGCGUGAGGGAUGACGGCCUUCGGGUUGUAAACCUCUUUCAGUACCGACGGAGCGCCGAUGAUGGUGGUGACGGUAGGUACAGAAGAAGCACCGGCCAACUACGUG